RNAcentral lists this ribosomal RNA (301 nucleotides) under uncultured bacterium. RNAcentral describes it as "partial 16S ribosomal RNA". It matches the Rfam family "Bacterial small subunit ribosomal RNA", at positions 509 to 807 of the family's 1533-position model. The record is from RNAcentral.
CAGUAGCCGCGGUAAUACGAAGGGGGCUAGCGUUGUUCGGAAUUACUGGGCGUAAAGCGCACGUAGGCGGACAUUUAAGUCAGGGGUGAAAUCCCGGGGCUCAACCCCGGAACUGCAUUUGAUACUGGGUGUCUAGAGUAUGGGAGAGGUGAGUGGAAUUCCGAGUGUAGAGGUGAAAUUCGUAGAUAUUCGGAGGAACACCAGUGGCGAAGGCGGCUCACUGGUCCAUUACUGACGCUGAGGUGCGAAAGCGUGGGGAGCAAACAGGAUUAGAUACCCCAGUAGUCCCUGUCUCUUAUAC